AUUGAACGCUGGCGGCAUGCCUUACACAUGCAAGUCGAACGGCAGCACGGGUGCUUGCACCUGGUGGCGAGUGGCGAACGGGUGAGUAAUACAUCGGAACAUGUCCUGUAGGGGGGGAUAGCCCGGCGAAAGCCGGAUUAAUACCGCAUACGAUCUACGGAUGAAAGCGGGGGCCCUUCGGGCCUCGCGCUAUAGGGUUGGCCGAUGGCUGAUUAGCUAGUUGGUGGGGUAAAGGCCUACCAAGGCGACGAUCAGUAGCGGGUCUGAGAGGACGACCAGCCAGACUGGGAGUGAGACACGGCCCACACUCCUACGGGAGGCAGCAGUGGGGAAUUUUGGACAAUGGGGGAAAGCCUGAUCCAGCAAUGCCGCGUGUGUGAAGAAGGCCUUCGGGUUGUAAAGCACUUUUGUCCGGAAAGAAAUCCUUGGCCCUAAUACGGUCGGGGGAUGACGGUACCGGAAGAAUAAGCACCGGCUAACUACGUG
This 486-nucleotide ribosomal RNA is filed under the name uncultured bacterium. RNAcentral's name for it is "partial 16S ribosomal RNA". It matches the Rfam family "Bacterial small subunit ribosomal RNA", at positions 29 to 507 of the family's 1533-position model. The record is from RNAcentral.